RNAcentral lists this ribosomal RNA (492 nucleotides) under uncultured bacterium. Its description in RNAcentral is "partial 16S ribosomal RNA". It matches the Rfam family "Bacterial small subunit ribosomal RNA", at positions 29 to 507 of the family's 1533-position model. The record is from RNAcentral.
AGUGAACGCUGGCGGUAGGCCUAACACAUGCAAGUCGAACGGCAGCACAGUAAGAGCUUGCUCUUACGGGUGGCGAGUGGCGGACGGGUGAGGAAUACAUCGGAAUCUACUUUUUCGUGGGGGAUAACGUAGGUAAACUUACGCUAAUACCGCAUACGACCUACGGGUGAAAGCAGUGGAUCUUCGGACCUUGCGCGAUUGAAUGAGCCGAUGUCGGAUUAGCUAGUUGGCGGGGUAAAGGCCCACCAAGGCGACGAUCCGUAGCUGGUCUGAGAGGAUGAUCAGCCACACUGGAACUGAGACACGGUCAAGACUCCUACGGGAGGCAGCAGUGGGGAAUAUUGGACAAUGGGCGCAAGCCUGAUCCAGCCAUACCGCGUGGGUGAAGAAGGCCUUCGGGUUGUAAAGCCCUUUUGUUGGGAAAGAAAAGCAGCAGGUUAAUACCCCGCUGUUCUGACGGUACCCAAAGAAUAAGCACCGGCUAACUUCGUG